This 389-nucleotide long non-coding RNA is filed under the name Setaria viridis. RNAcentral describes it as "long non-coding RNA (SVIR_LNC002474)". The record is from RNAcentral. Lineage: Eukaryota; Viridiplantae; Streptophyta; Magnoliopsida; Poales; Poaceae.
CGACGCCGGCCAUUCCAGUCAAUCUUCAAGAAAAAUGACAUUUAGAUUGUUGCUAUUAAUAACAGUUUAAUUGUAAUAUUUAACCUUUCAAUAUAGUUUUCAGCAAAAUAAGUAGGUCAUGUCUUAUGCUAGCUUAGCGGAUCCCUUCAUCUGAUGCUUGAAGUAUCAUCUGCAUAUAUACAUUGAUUGGUCAGGCAUCAUACUAUGCCUAUUGCUGUAGCAAGUAGCAACUAAUAAUCCUUGCCAAAAAAAGUAGCAACUAAUAUAAUGCAAAUGGUGAGAAAUCGAGCUUACCUUGUGAGCUUAUGAAUUUCAGUGACGGAGCUUCGGCGGCAGCAGAGCCAAAGCCAGCGCGACCAGCUGCUCAUGGUUCACAUCGCAAACAACUG